GAUACGGUACUGUUCGUUAAUCUAUUUGAGGGCUUUGAAAUAAUAAUUUUAAAAAUAUUACCUCUUUCAAUGCUAGCCUUACGGAAUCUGAUCAUAGGGGUAUGUGCCUGCACCAUCUGUAAAUUGGGUAAAAUUGGUCUGAGCCGAAAUAUUGUGGAACGACAGAGAUUGUUGUAUUCCAGAAAGAAUCGUUCAUCGAAAAAAGAUGGCGCUGAAUCUCACUCUCUCUCUCUGCCUCACUGCUCUACCUCAUCUCCCGGCUUUUCGAAACGGUUUUCUGCAGAAUUAACUGUUAUUCUAGUUUCGUGAGACGUAAUAUUAUAUUUUGGUUCGGAUCAUAGAUGUGUGGAAAGCUAAAAUAAUUAGAUCUACGCUGGUACGGAAUUAUCUGUUAUUUAACCAAUUUAUUAUAUGGAAUGGAUCAUAAUCACAAGGAGGCAAGAAGGGUCAGUCGUCAAUAAUCAGCUGAUAAAUGUUAUAAUGUAGAUUUUAUUGUAACACUAUAAAAAGAACUUAUCGUGGAAAAUAAUAUUUGGUUUGCUAAUACAUUAAUAUUAGGAAUGAUAAAUUAGAUAGCACAGCGAACGAUGGUAAAUAUAUGAUACAUGGUUAUAUGAAGUGGCGAUAUCGCAUAAAACGCGAUAAUUUCAAACAGUCUCCAGUUAUUAAAUAACAACUCAAG
Molecule: long non-coding RNA, 682 nt
Organism: Athalia rosae (coleseed sawfly)
Lineage: Eukaryota; Metazoa; Arthropoda; Insecta; Hymenoptera; Athaliidae
Exons: 2
Source: RefSeq, a predicted model, not a curated record